GCAUACUCUAGAGCCCGAUUCAUUUUAUUUUAAUUAAUAAAAUUACUUCCAAAUCCUAAUAAAAUGAAAUUUACAAAUUCAAAUUUAUUAAUGUAACCCAUCUCUUCUCUUAAAAGCUGCACCUUGAUUUGAUCUAAAAUAAAAUAUUAUUUAAAGAAAAUUAAAAUUCUUUAAAAAUCUUCGUUACAACAACGAUAUACAAGCAAUUUAAAAGUAAAAUAAAUUGUGGACUAUCAAUUACAGGACAGGUUCCUCUGGUAGGUUUGAGUACCGCCAAGACAUUUAACUUUCAAGCACUUCACUAAUACUAAUCCGGUUUUCUAUAUACGAUAUUAAUAACAGGGUAUCUAAUCCUGGUCUAAAACAAUAUUUUCUUAGAUCAAUUAUCUCUUUAUCCUUUAUUUUAUAUUAAAAUUUCACCUCUCAAUAUAAAUUAUAUAAACUCAUCUAUUAAUUUACUAAAACCAUAAAAAUUAAAUAGCACCUUUUGUAUAACCGCA
Molecule: ribosomal RNA, 500 nt
Filed under: Cryptocephalus rugicollis
Lineage: Eukaryota; Metazoa; Arthropoda; Insecta; Coleoptera; Chrysomelidae
Description: partial 12S ribosomal RNA
Source: RNAcentral